GCCUACGGGGGGGCAGCAGUGAGGAAUAUUGGUCAAUGGACGAGAGUCUGAACCAGCCAAGUCGCGUGAAGGAUGACUGCCCUAUGGGUUGUAAACUUCUUUUAUAUGGGGAUAAAACGUUCCACGUGUGGGAUUUUGUAUGUACCAUAUGAAUAAGGAUCGGCUAACUCCGUGCCAGCAGCCGCGGUAAUACGGAGGAUCCGAGCGUUAUCCGGAUUUAUUGGGUUUAAAGGGAGCGUAGGUGGAUUGUUAAGUCAGUUGUGAAAGUUUGCGGCUCAACCGUAAAAUUGCAGUUGAAACUGGCA
Molecule: ribosomal RNA, 305 nt
Filed under: uncultured bacterium
Lineage: Bacteria
Description: bacterial SSU rRNA
Rfam family: Bacterial small subunit ribosomal RNA
Source: RNAcentral